Long non-coding RNA from Hypomesus transpacificus, 1945 nucleotides. RefSeq lists it as uncharacterized. The transcript has 5 exons. NCBI's taxonomy places the organism in Eukaryota, Metazoa, Chordata, Actinopteri, Osmeriformes, Osmeridae. The record is from RefSeq and is a predicted model, not a curated record.
GAGGAGGAGGAGGAGGAGGGGCGAGCGAGCGAGAGCACAGAGGAGAAGGAGGAGGAGGAGGCAGAGAAAGAGAGAGAGAGAAGGGGGAGAGGGAGAGUGCAAACAAUGUCAUUCUGUUCAGGAGGCAGUGCUGCAGUCAACUUUGCCACGCCAUGGAAGCACACCACAAACCCGGGCAGCAUCCUCCAUCCAGCCUGAAGUGGUAAAGAGGAGAACCCAGCAACAUGAGAGUCACAACAUGAGGAUGGAGCAUACCACCCCCUCCAGUUCUGAAAACACAUAGAAACCCACUGCUUCUAAACUGCUCUGAAACAUUGCCUGUGUCCUCAGAUCCAGCCUUGUUUCAGUUACCUCAGGAGUUUGGAUUGGAAAUGUAGAAAAACUGGCACAUAACCAGCAGCCUGACAGAGAUGACGACAGAUCUUCCACAGCGGAGAUCUGCUGUCCCCUGGCAUAGGACUACAAAACCCCGGCAUAGGACUACAACCCCAAAAUAAAAAGUGUGUCAGACUGCCAGCCAAAGGAUCUGAAGGACACAGAAGAAUCCCCCUUUCUCUCACUUACAUCCCUCACAUCAGGUGAAACCUGACCGUAAUGCCUGUCUAUGACGAACAGGCCUCAGAGACUCCCUGCUGGUAGCGUGGCAGGGAGACGGCCUGGCCUGAAGAAGGGGAGACAGGAGGAGAUGCUGUUGGAUUUGGCUCUUGUGGGUGUUUCUCUGGCAGUGUCUUAGCUGGUUGUUGUGAGGAGUGAGAACGAAGCAAUCAGCAAGUAUACUGCCGCAGAAACUCUUCGCACUGAGAAGGCCGUCAUUGUCCAUCACUCAGAGAGGGAGAACAGGAAGCGGAGAAAGGAGGAGAGUGGUACGUAUUUUCCGUGCUCCUAAACAGAUUUUAGAGCGUCUGAUGAUGACGUCUAUGGAACGAAUGAAUGUUUUUCCGAUUCUCAAAGCUCGGUAGACUGAAGUUGGUGAACGUUUAUGUCAUGCUAAUAUGUAAACAUGAAUUGUUUACGUCAUGCUGUUUGGGAACCAAAUAAUCAUGUAUUUCUAAAUGUUCAGCAUUUCAAAUGGUCCGAACUCAUUGUCUCAAAUUACAGACAUUUGUGUUUUGAAAGGUUCAAUUCACUAGUGCCAUCUUGUGUCGGGAGAGAAAGAGAGAGAGUGUCGGCACUGCCACUUUAACCUGUUACAGCACUUGCUGGAAACAUAAAUGUGACACAAGUCAAACAACCUGAUAUUGACAUAUUUUUCUAUACUACUGAUACUUGAUCAACAUUUACAAUUUCUACAAUACGGUACACACCCAAACUGUAUCUAUAAUAAUAAUAAUAAUAAUAAUCAGCAGGCAAUCAUUUCAAUUGCAUUGCUAAAUGUCAUAAAUAGUAUUGUUGUUAACAUUAUCCUAUCAGAUUGUAUUAUUUAAUUGUGCUUUUAAAGACUUAAAUGUAUUUGUCAACUAUAUAUGUUUUGCUUGUCAUUGUAAAAUAAAAAUAUUCAAUUGGCUAUUUCUUGACUGUAUCUACAAUUGUCCUUUUCUCCCUUUUCCUUCAAGCUAAUGUUGGCACAGUUUUGUAUGAUGAUAAAAUGUGGCUACAUUCAGUCAGUGCAGAGUAUUUCAUCACAGGUACAAACCCUCUCUGAGUGUAGAUUAGUCACAGCUAACAUCGACAUCAGUCCAACGUCACGAUUACAUGAGUUUGUUUAAGUAUCAGAUGUAGACAUACUUAGGCUGAAAGGUUAUCGUAAAACAAAUUAGAAGUAUGAGAAUAGAAACAGGCACUGUCUGUGAAAUUUCUGAAGAAUCUCCUUAAUACAUAUGCUGUAGGUAGAGGAUAGUAUCUUUAAAAACUAUUUUUCAAAAUAAAUAAUUAAUAAUAAGACUAUUUAUAUAACACAUUUCUUACAAGAAUUGCAGCUCAAGGUGCUUUACAUAAAAUACAUAAA